Molecule: ribosomal RNA, 248 nt
Filed under: uncultured bacterium
Lineage: Bacteria
Description: partial 16S ribosomal RNA
Rfam family: Bacterial small subunit ribosomal RNA
Source: RNAcentral
AACGAACGCUAGCGGCGUGGCUAAGACAUGCAAGUCGUACGGUACGGUGUAGCAAUACAUCGUAUAGUGGCGGACGGGUGAGUAAGACAUGGGUAACGUACCUUGAACUCAGGGAUAGCGUCGGUACCCGCAAGGGUACCUAGCGAAAGCGACGGUAAUACCUGAUGAAAUCCGCGGGUGGCAUCACCUGCGGAUCAAAGACGGGACCGCAAGGCCUGUUGGUUUUUGUAGCGGCCCGACNGACCUAC